GUUAGCAGAAAAUCACCCUUGGCCUGCACCAUGCUAGAAGGUGAGGUCCUUGAACCAAGCAAUCAGGACCUCAGGUCACAACCUGCCUGCAGUGCAAUUCAGGUGAAACCCAGGGCUCCAACAAGC
RNAcentral lists this small nucleolar RNA (126 nucleotides) under Erinaceus europaeus (western European hedgehog). Its description in RNAcentral is "Small nucleolar RNA ACA64 (ENSEEUG00000022319.1)". It matches the Rfam family "Small nucleolar RNA ACA64". Lineage: Eukaryota; Metazoa; Chordata; Mammalia; Eulipotyphla; Erinaceidae. The record is from RNAcentral.